GGAAAGUGAAUCUUCCUGUGUUCUUAUCCUCAUUAGAAAAUCAGACUGCUAUUCUUUUAUAGAAAAUACAGGGCACAAUCAAGAUUACUCAAAGGAUUCUUCCCUUGGAGGAAGAUUUCAAGAGAUCCUCUGUGACUCGGCGGAACAAGCAUUGUGAGAGGCUGUGUCUUCAUCAGAUGUCUGCCUCUAGGAGUAAGAGAUUACAACACCCUAUAUUUAAAGACUUAGCUUCAUUCUUCAAUCUUGACAUGGACGGACUUCCUAAAUUCUGCUUACAAACAGACCCCUGACUAUUGUCAUCACGAAUUCCUUGGGGAGAGAAUCUGAUUGGAGGAGACAAACUUCCAGAUUGGUUCUCUU
This 360-nucleotide long non-coding RNA is filed under the name Sus scrofa (pig). Its description in RNAcentral is "lncRNA (ENSSSCG00070014749.1)". Lineage: Eukaryota; Metazoa; Chordata; Mammalia; Artiodactyla; Suidae. The record is from RNAcentral.